This 379-nucleotide ribosomal RNA is filed under the name [Curtobacterium] plantarum. Its description in RNAcentral is "partial 23S ribosomal RNA". It matches the Rfam family "Bacterial large subunit ribosomal RNA", at positions 1 to 420 of the family's 2925-position model. Lineage: Bacteria; Pseudomonadati; Pseudomonadota; Gammaproteobacteria; Enterobacterales; Erwiniaceae. The record is from RNAcentral.
GGUUAAGCGACUAAGCGUACACGGUGGAUGCCCAGGCAGUCAGAGGCGAUGAAGGACGUGCUAAUCUGCGUAAAGCGACGGUAAGGUGAUAUGAACCGCUACAGCCGUCGAUGUCCGAAUGGGGAAACCCGGUGCACUCUGUGCAUCAUUGCAGCAUGAAUACAUAGUGCUGCAAGGCGAACCGGGGGAACUGAAACAUCUAAGUACCCCGAGGAAAAGAAAUCAACCGAGAUUCCCCCAGUAGCGGCGAGCGAACGGGGAGCAGCCCAGAGCCUGAAUCAGUUUGUGUGUUAGUGGAAGCGUCUGGAAAGUCGCAGGGUACAGGGUGAUACUCCCGUACACAAAAGCACACAUGCUGUGAGCUCGAUGAGUAAGGCGG